RNAcentral lists this transfer RNA (77 nucleotides) under Chlorobiota bacterium. RNAcentral's name for it is "Chlorobi bacterium (hot springs metagenome) tRNA-Asp". It matches the Rfam family "tRNA". Rfam says of the family: Transfer RNA (tRNA) molecules are approximately 80 nucleotides in length. Their secondary structure includes four short double-helical elements and three loops (D, anti-codon, and T loops). The record is from RNAcentral. Lineage: Bacteria; Pseudomonadati; Chlorobiota.
GGGGCCGUAGCUCAGCUGGUUAGAGCGCCUGCCUGUCACGCAGGAGGACGCGAGUUCGAGUCUCGUCGGCCCCGCUA